RNAcentral lists this ribosomal RNA (413 nucleotides) under uncultured Rhoicosphenia. RNAcentral describes it as "SSU rRNA". It matches the Rfam family "Eukaryotic small subunit ribosomal RNA", at positions 567 to 990 of the family's 1831-position model. The record is from RNAcentral. Lineage: Eukaryota; Bacillariophyta; Bacillariophyceae; Cymbellales; Rhoicospheniaceae.
CCAGCAGCCGCGGUAAUUCCAGCUCCAAUAGCGUAUAUUAAAGUUGUUGCAGUUAAAAAGCUCGUAGUUGGAUUUGUGGAGUCACUAGUUGGGUCAUAUUUGAUUCCAAACGUGUGUCUUCAUCUUUGGGUUACCUCUAUGUGGCAUUAGGUUGUCGCGUAGAGAGUGCUCAUCAUUUACUGUGAGAAAAUCAGAGCGUUCCAAGCAAGCUUAGGCUGUUGAAUGUAUUAGCAUGGAAUAAUGGGAUAGGACCUUGGUACUAUUUUGUUGGUUUGUGCAUCAAGGAAAUGAUCAACAGGGACAGUUGGGGGUAUUCGUAUUCCAUUGUCAGAGGUGAAAUUCUUGGAUUUUUGGAAGACGAACUACUGCGAAAGCAUUUACCAAGGAUGUUUUCAUUAAUCAAGAACGAAAGU